RNAcentral lists this unclassified non-coding RNA (162 nucleotides) under uncultured Diaporthales. RNAcentral's name for it is "sequence contains ITS2". The record is from RNAcentral. Lineage: Eukaryota; Fungi; Ascomycota; Sordariomycetes; Diaporthales.
CAACCCUCAAGCCCUCGUGUGCUUGGUGUUGGGGCACAGCCUGUAGAAGGGCUGGCCCUGAAAUUCAGUGGCGUGCUCGCUAAGACUCCGAGCGUAGUAAUUUUUUCUCGCUUAGGUUGGAUUAGCGGUGCGUAGCCGUAAAACCCCCUAAUAUUUUCUGAA